Molecule: non-coding RNA, 21 nt
Filed under: Arabidopsis thaliana (thale cress)
Lineage: Eukaryota; Viridiplantae; Streptophyta; Magnoliopsida; Brassicales; Brassicaceae
Source: RNAcentral
GGCCGAUGGCCCACAUAUCAG